Molecule: long non-coding RNA, 1981 nt
Filed under: Sus scrofa (pig)
Lineage: Eukaryota; Metazoa; Chordata; Mammalia; Artiodactyla; Suidae
Description: lncRNA (ENSSSCG00015045844.1)
Source: RNAcentral
GUAAAGAUUCUUUAUAUCUUGUGGACAUAAGUCCUUUGCCAGCUAUGUGUAUUGCAAAAAGUUUCCGACUCUUUGACUUGACUUUUCCACUUUCUUAGUGGUGUUUUCUGAGGAGCAAAAAUUUUAACUUUUUAAAAAUUCUAAUUAAUCACUUCCUUGAAAUGGCUCAUUUUCGUGUGUUCUAUUUAUAAAACCUUUGUCUUUCUCAAGGUUUCAAAGGGUUUCACUUAUGUUUUUCUCUAGUAGUUUUUUUUAGUUUUAAUGUGUGUAUUCUCGUUUAUGAUCUAUCUGGAAUUGAUUUUUGUCUGCUAUGUGAAAUAAGGGUCAAAGUUCAUCUUUUUUUCCCACACUGGCAUCCAAUUGUUCAGUACCAUUUGUUGAAAAUAUAAUUAUUUUCUCCUCAAAUUACCUUGGUGACUUUAUUAAAACAAAACAAAACAAAACAAAAACUUCCCCCCCAAACUCUCACUCACUGAAAAACCUCACCCUAAACUGAGCAAAUACAUGUGGGUCUGUAUUUGGAUUCUCCAUUUUGUUCCUUUUUUUUAUAUGUCUAUUUUUAUGCUACUAUUGCACUGUCUUCACAACUGUGGCUUUGUAUAUUAAGUGUUAAAAUUGGGUGAUUUAGAUCUUCAGAUUUUGUUCUUCAUAUUCAAAAUUGUUUCAGCUCUUUGAGGCCCCUUCAAUUUCCACAUGAUUACAAGAAUCAGUUUAUCAAUUUAAGAAAGGCUUCUGGAAUUUUUUUUUUUCUGAAAUUGCACUGAAUUUAUAGAUCAAUUUGGGGAGAAUUGAUAUCUUAACCUUGCAUCAGUCAUUCCAUGGACAUGGUAUAUUUCUUCAUAUAUUUGAGCUUCCGUUUGUUUUUUCAGCAAUGUUUUGUAAUUUUCAGUUUGGAUGUCUUGUACAUAUGUUUUAAGUUUAUCUCAGUAUUUUACUAUUAAAUGUUAUUUUAAAUGGCAUUUAAAUUGUUUUCAUUUUGCAAUUACUUAUUGGAAUGUAAACAUUGCUGUUGGUUUACAGAAAUAUGAUUGUUUUUUACAUUUGCCUUGUAUCCUGUGACAUGUAUUAGUUCUGUAUUAGUUCCUUCCUUCUUUCAUUCUUCCUUCUUUCCAUCUUUCCUUCCUUCCUUCCUUUCUUUUUCUUUUUUGGCCCACACCCACAGCAUAUAGGAGUCUUGGCCUAUGCCACAGCUACAGCAAUGCAGGAUCUGAGCUGCAUCUGUGACCUUCACCACAGCUCAUAGCAACGCGGGAUCCUUUAAGCCACUGAGCAAGACCAGGGAUUGAACCCACAUCCUCAUGGAUAGUAGUUGCAUUUGUUACUGCUGAUCCACAAUGGGAACUCUUUUUCUUCAGAUUCCUUAGGAUUUACUAUGUACAAAAUAAUGUUAUCUAUGAACAAAUAAUGUUUUAUUCCUUUCUUUCCCAUUUGAAUAGCUUUUCCUUUUCUUUUUUCUUGUUUUCUUUUUCUUCUUCUUCUUCUUUUUUUUUUUUUUUUUUUUUUUUUUUUUUUUUUUUUUUUUUUUGUCUUUUCUAGGGCUGCACCCAGGGCAUAUGGAGGUUCCCAAGCUAAGGGUCUAAUUGGAGCUGUAGCUGCCGGCCUAUGCCACAGCCACAGCAACUCGGGAUCCAAGCCAUGUCUGAGACCCACACCACAGCUCAUGGCAACACUGGAUCCUUAACCCACUGAGCAAGGCCAGGGGUGAAACCUGCAACCUCAUGGUUCUUAUUCGGAUUCAUGGUUAACGAAUCCGACUAGGAACCAUGAGGUUGCGGGUUCGAUCCCUGCCCUUGCUCAGUGGGUUAAUGAUCUGGCGUUGCCGUGAGCUGUGGUGUAGGUCGCAGACGUGGCUCAGAUCCCGAGUUGCUGUGGCUCUGACGUAGGCUGGCAGCUAGGCUCUGAUUAGACCCCUAGCCUGGGAACCUCCUAUGUGCCACGGGAGGGGCCCAAGAAAUGGCAAAAAGACCAAAAGAAAAAAAAA